Molecule: ribosomal RNA, 1204 nt
Filed under: metagenome
Description: SSU rRNA
Rfam family: Eukaryotic small subunit ribosomal RNA
Source: RNAcentral
UUAUGUUGGCGAUGUAUCAAUUAAAUUUCUGCACUAUUAACUUUUGAUGUAAGUGUAUUGUACUUACAUGGUUUUGAUGGUUAACGGAGGAUUAGGGUUUGAUUCCGGAGAGGGAGCCUGAGAAAUGGCUACCACAUCCAAGGAAGGCAGCAGGCGCGCAAAUUACCCAAUCUCAAUACGAGGAGGUAGUGACAAUAAAUAACAAUGCAGGGCUUUUUAAGUCUUGCAAUUGGAAUGAGUACAAUUUAAAACCCUUAACGAGAAACAAUUGGAGGGCAAGUCUGGUGCCAGCAGCCGCGGUAAUUCCAGCUCCAAUAGCGUAUAUUUAUGUUGUUGCAGUUGAAAAGCUCGUAGUUGGAUUUGAGGUUUAGGGAUAUGGUCUCAUCUUCGGAUGUUGUACUGUAUUUCUUUAUCUUUUACAUGAGAAGGUAUUCUGUUCUUUAUUGGAUGGUUUAUUGACUCAUGUCUUUUACUUUGAAAAAAUUAGAGUGUUCAAAGCAGGCUUAUGCCUUGAAUACAUUAGCAUGGAAUAAUAAGAUAGGACUUUUGUCUAUUUUGUUGGUUUUUAUGGACUGAAGUAAUGAUUAAUAGGGGCAGUUGGGGACAUUAAUAUUUAAUUGUCAGAGGUGAAAUUCUUGGAUUUAUUAAAGAUUAACUACUGCGAAAGCAUUUGUCAAGGAUGUUUUCAUUAAUCAAGAACGAAAGUUGGGGGAUCGAAGACGAUCAGAUACCGUCGUAGUCUCAACCAUAAACUAUGCCGACGAGAAAUUAGUGAAUGUUUAUUCAUUGACUUCAUUAGCUUCUUCCGAGAAAUCAAAGUUUUUGGGUUCUGGGGGGAGUAUGGUCGCAAGGCUGAAACUUAAAGGAAUUGACGGAAGGGCACCACCAGGAGUGGAGCCUGCGGCUUAAUUUGACCCAACACGGGAAAACUUACCAGGUCCAGACAUAAGAAGGAUUGACAGAUUGAGAGCUCUUUCUUGAUUUUAUGGGUGGUGGUGCAUGGCCGUUCUUAGUUGGUGGAGUGAUUUGUCUGCUUAAUUGCGAUAACGAACGAGACCUUAACCUACUAAAUAGCUACGUGAAACCUAGCUUCAUGGCCAGCUUCUUAGAGGGACUAUAUAAGUCAAUUAUAUGGAAGUUUGAGGCAAUAACAGGUCUGUGAUGCCCUUAGAUGUUCUGGGCCGCACGCGCGCUACACUGACGA